Molecule: long non-coding RNA, 4762 nt
Organism: Ostrea edulis (European flat oyster)
Lineage: Eukaryota; Metazoa; Mollusca; Bivalvia; Ostreida; Ostreidae
Exons: 3
Source: RefSeq, a predicted model, not a curated record
UCUACAAAUAUCCAGCAAUAUGUUAUGAAUUAAACUUCAGAAUGUGAAUGAGGCUGAUAUGAGUCACAAAUAUUGCCAGCUAGUGAACGUCAAGACCAUCAGGAAAAAUGAGUCUCCACGUGACACCCUUGUCUAGAGCAAUAGGUAACCACUGACCUGGACAGUGCUGCUGGUCAAGCGGCAGAUUCCAUCUACCAGGGCAGGCUUCUGAAAAAAAAACCAUUGACACCUGUCACUAGUCCAAGAGCAUAAACAUGAGUUCAACAAGAGGCCCAGGGCCACAUCGCUCACCUGAGCCACCUUGGCUCACAUUUAAAGAUUUUCCCUAUAAUUUGUAUGCAAAACUUGUGACCCCAUCCUACCCCUGCGGCUAUGAUUUGAUCAAACUGAAAUCUGAAAUAUGUCAGAAAGCUUUCAGGUAAAUAUCAGCUUUUUUGGCUCAGUGGUACUUGAGAAGAUUUUUAAAGAUUUUUCUAUAUAUUGGCAUUUAAAAAUUUGAUCCCCUAUUGUAGCCCCAUCCAACCCCCGGGGGCAUUGAUUUUAACUAACUUGAAUCUGUAUUAUAUCAGGAAGCUUUGAAGUACAUCUCAGCUUUUCUGGCUCAGUGGUUCUUGAGAGGAAGAUUUUGAAAGAUUUAUCCUAUAUAUUUGUAUGUAAAACUUUGACCCCCUAUUGUGGUCCCAUCCAACCACCGGGGGGGGGGGGGCAUGCUUUGAACAAACUUGAAUCUGCAUUAUGUCAGGAAGCUUUCAUGUCAAUCUCAGCUUUUCUGGACCAGUGGUUCUUGAGAGGAAAUUUUUUAAAUGACCCCACCCUAUUUUUGCAUUUUUGCGAUUGUCUUCCCUUUGAAAGGGACAUGGCCCUUCAUUUGAACAAACUUGAAAGCCCUUCACUUAAGGAUGCAUUGUGGCAAGUUUGGUUGAAAUUGGCGUAGCGGUUCUUGAGAAGAAGUCGAAAAUGUGAAAAGUUUACGACGACGACAGACAACGAACAAAAGGACUAGAGCCACAAACCCCAUAUUAUGGCCCUUAAAAUAUAUAAAAAUGAAAGUAAGUGUUGAAUAGGAGUAUUGGUGUUAUAAAUAUGUAUCAGAAUCCGGGGCUUAAAAAAACAUGUUAGAUUUUAAAAAUAGGAGCACAACUAAAGCUGUAUACAUACUAGAACCGGAUAUGGUACCGUAUUUCGGUCAUUUUCCACCAAAAACUGGUUAUUUUGUAAAGGUUUUGUCAUACUGGUUUCAUCUCGCCCAAAAUAUUUAAAAUAUUUUUAUAAUAUACACCUUUUCAAUUGACCAUAAAUGCAAAAAUAUUUUAGGGCGAGCUAUGAGCACUAUUUUUAUUUUUUUAAAAAACGAUAUUCCGGAUUGCUGAAAAAUAUUACGGUUAUAAUGCGCUAGUGGUGGUAAACUUGAAUUUUACAGAAAAUAUGGCUGGUUUAAGUAUCUUAUGGAGAAGGAAACUACGUUUUUUAUUUCGUGUCAUGUAUAUGUACAUAGGUCAUUUUAGUUCGGUGUUUAUUUUUAAAGCAAGGGAAAUUCCCUCACCUAAUAAGUUUUCGGUUGCAGCUUGUUUUGCCCUUUUACUAUAGAUGUUCAUUUUCAAUACCUAGUUGUUUUCAUCUUUUAAAGUCGUUCACAAUACAUCUUCAUUGCAUCGUUGCUUAAAAACUGUGUACAAUUUUGGUAGUUUUACAUUAUUAUCAUAAACAUUAUCAUUGAACGAAACGACAGUUACCGAAACUGUUAGGCCUAGUGACUGAAAUGAACAUGGCGCGGCGUCUUCUUUCACUUUGGGAUAUCGGAAAAUAUUCAGGCUUCAUGCAAGUAUUCUUGUAUGGUAACCCGUAUGAAAUUUUUAGACAUACUACGCCUGGAAAUCAAAGAAAUCCAGGCGUACAAGAGACGUAUUUUUGAAAAUACGGUUAAACUUGAGACGUACACGUAUUUUGACAAAAAUACGUCUCCUUAACCCAAGGCGUAUUUUUCAAACUCCAGGUGGAUUUUGGAACUUUGUUCAUUCUAAAUAGGGAAUUCAGAGACUUAGACUUUUCAAGAGGCGUAUUUUUUUGUUAAAAGAACUUAGUCAAUUUCAUGAGACGUAUUAUUAUAAAUCCAGAUGGAUUUUCUAACUUUGUAACUUUUUUUGAAAUUGAAGCUUAAUUCUCUUUAAAUUUCCCAAAGAUGUUAAUAAAUAAUUGGCAUAAUUUUGUCAUAAAUUUGAGACACAUUUAUUCCAGUCAUAGUAUUAAAUAAUUGAUCAUUAUAAACAAACUUCUUAUAUCAAUCCACAAUGAGAAAAAACUUUUUAAAACAAGAUGUGUUAGUGAAACAUAAAUGCCCCCGAUAAUGGCCAAUUCCGAAGAUGGCCAAGGUCACAAGAACAAAUAUCUUGGUACCAGUAGAAAGAUCGUCACAAGAAAUGCUCAUGUACAAUAUGAAAGCUCUGAUAUUUACCAUUUAGAAGUUAUGACCAAUGUCAAUUUUUUUAAAAGUAGGUCAAAUGUCAAGGUCAAAAUGUUUAGUACCCAUUGAAAGGUCUUGUCACAAUGAAUACUCAUGUGAAAUAUCAAAGCUCUAUCACUUACUGUUCAAAAGUUAUUAGCAAGAUUAAAAUUUUCAAAAAGUAGAUCAAACGUCAAGGUCACUGGGUCAAAAAUAUUGGUACCCACGGAAAGGACAUGUCACAAGGAAUACUCAUGUGAAAUAUCAAAGCUGUAUCACUUACUGUUUAAAAGUUAUUAGCAAAGUUAACAUUUUCAAAAAGUAGAUCAAACUCCAUGGUCAAGGUCACUGGGUCAAAAAUAUUGGUACCCACGGAAAGGACUUGUCACAAGGAAUAAUCAUGUGAUAUAUCAAAGCUCUAUCACUUACUGUUCAAAAGUUAUUAGCAAGGUUAAAAUUUUCAAAAGUAGGUCAAACUCCCAAGGUUAAGGUCACAGGGUCAAAAAUGUUGGUACUCACGGAAAGGUCUUGUCACAAGGAAUACUCAUGUGAAAUAUCAAAGCUCUAUCACUUACUGUUCAAAAGUUAUUAGCAAGGUUAAAGUUUCAGACAGAAUGACAGACAGGACAAAAACAAUAUGCCCCCCGAUCUUCUUCGAUCUCGGGGGCAAAAAAAAAAAAAGAAUAUUAGAACUGCAUUUUUCUGGGUUAAAGGAUUUGGCAUUUAACUAUAAAAUAUAACUACAUCCAAUAUAUUUGAUCAAAAUAAAGCCUCGUGAGCUUCUAUACCGUAAUUCACGUUUCCAACCUUGAUCAAAAAAACGCUUACGAUAAGAUGUGGUAGAUAAGCAUAUGCAAGAGUCUGGAUGACCAAGACUUUAACAGACUUCCGCCAAAUUUGAGCCCGCCAUCGACAACAUGAGCAGGAAAAGAGUGGCAAAGUGAUGAAAACGAAGAUUCUGAAGCUAAUACAGCCAGAAAAACGGGUAGUGACGAUUGAACUAAGGAAAAUUUAAAAUGCUGAAAUUAAAAGGAAGAAAAAAGAAAUUCAAGCCGAAAACAAGAAGAAAUAAAGAAGCAAUAAUAGACUCAAACCAGCAAUCUUUGCAAAUGCAAGAAUGUAGAACCCAGCAGUAAUUACGUGCCCGAGUCCUGCAGUUCGAAUGUUCCAGUACUCGUCGGCAACACUUCUGGACGUAGCAGUAUGCUUAAGACUACUACAUCAAUCAGCAACACACCUGUACCAGUCAGCAACUUGAAAGAACCCUGCUAUACUCGUGUGUCUGUGCCAUACAAUAACUCAGUUGUACUUAAUGGUCAAGAUGUGUUAACCUCUGUCAGCAACACCUCAGUACCUUGCAGUUAAAAUAAGCCUGUGCCAGUAAGCAACUCGAAAGAACCCUACUGUCAUACUCGUGUGCUUGUGCCAAAUAACAAAAUUUCGAAUGUAAUUCUUUGAGAUUUAUUUUUAAUCAACUGCUCUAAUAAUGAUGACUGUGCUAUUCAAAAUCUCAACGCUCUUAGCCUAUGGUCUUUUCUCAAAGAUUCAGUGUUUGAUGAUUUGUGGAUUCAAAGGAGAGUAUAUAUAUACAUUAUUUGCUGUGGUUCGGAAUUACCAUAGUGCUUAACAGUAAUCUUAUUACAGUUUAUUUCUAGUCAUCAUGAUCUAUUGUUUUAAAAUAUUAAUUAAGCUCUGAUUUUAAUUGUAUAAUUUCAUUUUGAUUAUGUUUAUAACCUAAAUUCAAAUCUUUGUCAGAAAUCAAUCUGUUAUGUUAAUGAAUAUUUUGCGUUUUGCAUAUCUAUACGCAUGGGGGGGAAAUGGAUGCGCAUCGAUGGGCUGAUAUAAUUUUUUAUCUUUCUAUUUCAAAUUGGUAUAAUUGUCAAUUUUGUGAAAUAUUACAUGGUAACUGUUGUAAGUUUCAUAUAAUGUCCAAAAAUUGUUACAGAUAUAGCACCCCCUUGUAAUUAACCUUUUACAAAUUUACUCUAUGGGACAUAAACUGACAAAUCAUUGGAAAAAAUUCAACUCUACUCCAUGAAAUGUAUUUGAAUUUUAAUAUCACAUGUAUAAUGUGUCUAUUUUUUAUCAUUUUAAAAAUUUGUUUGCAUCCUUAGGAUCAUUAUGAAUUUGUGUUAAUUACUUAUUGAACUACAUAUUACAUAUAUUAUUAGAAAUAUUUAAAACUACUAUACAUCUGUACAAUCUCCUUUGUUAGUUAUAUGAUUAUUAUUAAUGUACUUGUCAACUGAUGAAAAAUUUAAUCUGUUACACAGGCAUAAUUAUGUAUUGUUAAAUACAGUUCCAAUUUUCAAAUACCUGUCA